This 1947-nucleotide long non-coding RNA is filed under the name Equus caballus (horse). RNAcentral describes it as "lncRNA (ENSECAG00000054425.1)". Lineage: Eukaryota; Metazoa; Chordata; Mammalia; Perissodactyla; Equidae. The record is from RNAcentral.
GUUGAAAGGACACUGCUUAGAGUUAUGGUGAUAUCUUCAGAUUAAGAGAAGGGGGUAACAGUUUUGCUGGUGGGUUCAGUUAAAAUGGUGGCUGCUGUGGCAGUUUCAGGUUCCACAGAACUGGUAGCGCUGGCUGUUGUGGUGGUAGUCUCACUGGUAGUGCUAGCAGUCAUCGUAGUAGGUGGUUCAGUUGAAGUGCUGGCUACUGUGAUGGUUGUAGAUUCAUAAGAAGCUGUUGUAAUGGCUGUUGUGGUGGUAGCCUCAGUGGUAGUCCUGAAGGUUGGUGUGGUAGUCUGUUCAGUUGAUGUGGUGGGUAUAGUGGUUGUAGCCUCAGUGGGAAUACUGGUAGUCAUUGGGGUAGUCAGUUCAGUGAAGUGGUAGAUGCUGUGGUGUCUGUAGGUUCAGUGGAAGCUGCAGUAGUGGAAGCAGUGGAGGCAGCCCCAGUGGUACUGCUGGUACUUAGUGUGGUAGGCAGUUCUGUUGUAGUGGUGGCUGCUGUGGUGGUAUCCUCAGUGGUAGUACUGGUAGUUUGUGUGGUAGUCUGUUCAGUUGAAGUACUGGCUAUUGUUGUGGUAGCCUCAGUGGUAGUGCCAGAAGUUGGUGUGGUAGUCUGUUCCGUGGAAGUGGUGGCUGUUGUGGUUGUAGCCUCAGUGGUACUGCUGACAGUUGGUAUGGUAGUCUGCUCAGUAGAAGUGGUGGCUGCUGUGGUAGUUGUAGUUUCAGUGGAAAUGGUAGUGGUGGCUGUUGCAGUAGUAGCCUCAGUGGUAGUGCUGGUAGUUGGUGUGGUAGUCAGUUCUGUUGAAGUGGUGGCUGUUGCAGUGGUAGUCUCAGUGGUAGUGCUGGUAGUUGGUGUGGUAGUCUGUUCAGUUGAUGUAGUGGCUAUUGUGGUUGUAGAUUCUGUGGGAGCAGUAGUGGUGGCUGUUGUGGUUGUAACCUCCAUGGUAGGGCUGGAAGUUGGUGUGGUACUUGGUUCCAUUAAAGUCGUGGUUGUUGUGGCAGCCUCAGUAGUACUGCUGGUAGUCAUUGUGGUAGUUGGUUCAGUUGAAGUGAUAGCUGCUGUGGUGGUUGUAGUUUCGGUUGAAAUGGUAGUGGUGGCUGUUGCAGUAGUAGCCUCAGUGGGGGUGCUGGCAGUUGGUGUAGUAGUCAGUUCUGUUGAAGCGGUGGCUGCUGUGGAAGUAGCCUCAGUGGUAGGGCUGGCAGUUGGUGUGGUAGUCUGCUCCGUAGAAGUGGUGGCUGUUGUGGUUGUAGCCUCAGUGGUAGUGCUGGCAGUUGGUGUGGUAGUCUGUUCCAUUGAAGUGGUGGCUGUUGUGGUUGUAGCCUCAGUGGUAGUGCUGGCAGUUGGUGUAGUAGUUUGUUCAGUUGAAGUGGUGACUGUUGUGGUUGUAGCCUCAGUGGUAGUGCUGGCAGUAGGUGUGGUACUCUGUUCCAUGGAAGUGGUGGCUGUUGUGGUUGUAGCCUCAGUGGUAGUGCUGGAAGUUGGUGUAGUAGUCUGUUCAGUUGAAGUGGUGACUGUUGUGGUUGUAGCCUCAGUAGUAGUGCUGGCAGUUGGUGUAGUAGUCUGUUCAGCUGAAGUGGUGACUGUUGUGGUUGUAGCCUCAGUAGCAGUGCUGGCAGUUGGUGUGGUAGUCUGUUCAGUUGAAGUGGUAGCUGUUGUGGUGGUAGCCUCAGUGGUAGUGCUGGAGGCUGGCGUGGUAGUCUGUUCAGUUGAUGUAGUGGCUAUUGUGGUUGUAGACUCUGUGGGAGCAGUAGUGGUGGCUGGUGUGGUUGUAACCUCCGUGGUAGGGCUGGAAGUUGGUGUGGUACUUGGUUCCAUUAAAGUUGUGGCUGUUGUGGCAGCCUCAGUAGUACUUCUGGUAGUCAUUGUGGUAGUUGGUUCAGUUGAAGUGAUAGCUGCUGUGGUGAUUGUAGUGUCAGUGGAAAUGGUAGUGGUGGCUGUUGCAGUAGCAG